RNAcentral lists this unclassified non-coding RNA (1434 nucleotides) under uncultured Neocallimastigales. RNAcentral's name for it is "partial contains small subunit ribosomal RNA, internal transcribed spacer 1, 5.8S ribosomal RNA, internal transcribed spacer 2, and large subunit ribosomal RNA". The stretch from base 660 to 1434 matches the Rfam family "Eukaryotic large subunit ribosomal RNA", at positions 1 to 628 of the family's 3401-position model. Lineage: Eukaryota; Fungi; Neocallimastigomycota; Neocallimastigomycetes; Neocallimastigales. The record is from RNAcentral.
UUUCCGUAGGUGAACCUGCGGAAGGAUCAUUAAAAAAUUGGACUCCAUUGGUGAGUUCAUUAAUAAUCCCUACCCUUUGUGAAUUUGUCUUGUUUGAAUAAUUUUUUUCCAAAAAAAAUUAUUGAAUGUCUUUCCUUGUUUUGGUGGAGCUUGUAAAGUGAAACCAGGCAGGGGAAUGGCAAACAAUAAUUAUUUUUGAAAAAGACCUUUUUUUAAAAUUAAACUUUUUGUAUUCAUUUGUCUAAAAUUAAUUUUUAUAAUAUAAAAACAACUUUUGACAAUGGAUCUCUUGUUCUCGCAACGAUGAAGAACGCAGCAAAAUGCGAUAAGUAGUGUGAAUUGCAGAAUACGUGAAUCAUCGAUCUUCGAACGCAUAUUGCACUUUUUAGUUUACUAAAAAAGUAUGUCUGUUUGAGUAUCAGUAAAAUAUUCUCAUAAAAAACAUUGUUUUUUUUAUGGUUAUGAGUGUUUUACAACGAUAACAAGUUGUUUCACUUUAAAUUCUUUGUUUAUCAAAAAAAUCAUUAAAAGCUAAUUUUAAAGAUUUUUUAAAAUUGGAUAAAAUUUCCCGUAAAAAGGAAUAACCUAAACAAUUUUAAAAAAUUAAAAUUGGUUUGAUUUUUUUUGAAACCCAAAGGAAAAAAAAAACGAAAUUAACUUGAUCUCAAAUCAGAUAAGAGUACCCGCUGAACUUAAGCAUAUCAAUAAGCGGAGGAAAAGAAACUAACUAGGAUUCCCUCAGUAACGGCGAGUGAAGCGGGAAGAGCUCAAAUUUGAAAUCUUCAAGGUUUUACCUUGACGAAUUGUAGUUUAAAGAAGUGUUUUCUGUUGGAGUUUGGUAAAAGUUCUUUGGAAAAGGACAUCAUAGAGGGUGAGAAUCCCGUAUUUGACCAUUAUCUCCAGCUUUGUGAUACACUUUCAAAGAGUCGGAUUGUUUGGGAAUGCAGUCCAAAAUGGGUGGUAAAUUUCAUCUAAAGCUAAAUACUGGCGAGAGACCGAUAGCGAACAAGUACGUGAGGGAAAGAUGAAAAGACUUUGAAAAGAGAGUUAAACAGUACGUGAAAUUGUCAAAAGGGAAGCGUUUGACACCAGUGUUGUUUUCUCGAAAAUCAAUUAAAAAAGGCCGGAUUUUGUGUUGUAUUGACUUUAUCAGCUUUCUGCACUCUUUUCUUGUCUUUUUUAAUGCACUUUUCGUUUAACAAGUCAACAUCAAUUUCUUUUGUUGUAAAAGGGUCAUUGGAAGGUGGCUUUCUUUUCGGAGAAAGUGUUUAUAGCCUUUGGCCUCUGCAAUCGGAGAGAUUGAGGUCUGCAGCGUAGAUCCUUCGGGGUUGGAUACAUUUGUGCUAAGUUAUAGCCUUUCAUAGACAACUUGUUGACUAUGAUCAGUCAUGUAGCUUACUCGCUUAUGCUAUUUUACCUACGCUUAGGAUGUUG